RNAcentral lists this non-coding RNA (30 nucleotides) under Mus musculus (house mouse). The record is from RNAcentral. Lineage: Eukaryota; Metazoa; Chordata; Mammalia; Rodentia; Muridae.
UGAACUUUGAAUGCCUUAAUGCUCUUUGGC